Molecule: ribosomal RNA, 828 nt
Filed under: Triticum aestivum (bread wheat)
Lineage: Eukaryota; Viridiplantae; Streptophyta; Magnoliopsida; Poales; Poaceae
Description: partial small subunit ribosomal RNA
Source: RNAcentral
AUGGCAACCGGCAUUCUGGAGGUUAUACCAGCUCCAGUUGCAGCAUUUGACAUCAGUGAUGACAACAAGUUGGCCGAGAAUUACAAAACAUGUGUCGAAGCCAUCAUAAGUCACAUGGCGAAAGAAACGGAUGUGAAGUUUACUGUUACUGUGGAAGGCAAGGAGGCGACAGUUCCUGUGACUCCAAAGAAAAACCAUACACCAUCUGGUAUGUACGUAAUAGAAGUCACAGAUGGCGAGAAGAGUCUGCAACUGGUCGGCACAAAAUUUCAAGCAUGGUUUAGGGGCAUUGUGAACAAUAGUGGGGAUCGUUUUGAGGUUGAUGACAAAGAGUCGAAGAUAAUGAGGAAGUCUGAUUCCCUCCACACUACUGGCAUGUACCCUAAACUGCUGUCAUGUCAGCUUGCAGAUUUCAAGGUGGGAUAUCAUCGGUUGAAGUCUGCCUUCCACACCCUGGCAACCUAUGGAGAAAGACCGCUGAGCAAGGACCUCGUCAAAGAGAAUGACUCCAUUGGGUUAUUCAUUGUGAUGUUGUUUGAAGGUCCCAGGUUCAUUCCCAUCUACGAGAUCAGCUAUGAUGCUCACCUGGAUAAGGAGAAUACUGUUGGGCAAGACAACAGUAAACUGCUAAUUAGGAACUGGGGUGAUUUGAGCAAGGGUUUUUAUCGACACGUGAAAGUAAAAAUGAGUUUUACCCUAGACGGAAAUACACCAGAGAAUCUCAGGAAGGCUGCUACCACCUUAAGAAUCAUGUCCAGAACCGAAUGGGAUAAGUGGGUGGAGGAGUACGGGAGUGGCCAGAGCAGCAGCAGCAACAGCAGGUGUUAG